This 600-nucleotide ribosomal RNA is filed under the name uncultured Gammaproteobacteria bacterium. RNAcentral describes it as "bacterial SSU rRNA". It matches the Rfam family "Bacterial small subunit ribosomal RNA", at positions 76 to 678 of the family's 1533-position model. The record is from RNAcentral. Lineage: Bacteria; Pseudomonadati; Pseudomonadota; Gammaproteobacteria.
GCUUGCUAGAAGAUGACGAGUGGCGGACGGGUGAGUAAUGCUUGGGAACUUGCCUUUGCGAGGGGGAUAACAGUUGGAAACGACUGCUAAUACCGCAUAAUGUCUUCGGACCAAACGGGGCUUCGGCUCCGGCGCAAAGAGAGGCCCAAGUGAGAUUAGCUAGUUGGUAAGGUAACGGCUUACCAAGGCGACGAUCUCUAGCUGUUCUGAGAGGAAGAUCAGCCACACUGGGACUGAGACACGGCCCAGACUCCUACGGGAGGCAGCAGUGGGGAAUAUUGCACAAUGGGGGAAACCCUGAUGCAGCCAUGCCGCGUGUGUGAAGAAGGCCUUCGGGUUGUAAAGCACUUUCAGUUGUGAGGAAAAGUUAGUAGUUAAUACCUGCUAGCCGUGACGUUAACAACAGAAGAAGCACCGGCUAACUCCGCGCCAGCAGCCGCGGUAAUACGGAGGGUGCGAGCGUUAAUCGGAAUUACUGGGCGUAAAACGCACGCAGGCGGUUUGUUAAGCUAGAUGUGAAAGCCCCGGGCUCAACCUGGGAUGGUCAUUUAGAACUGGCAGACUAGAGUCUUGGAGAGGGGAGUGGAAUUCCAGGUGUAG